AUGCAGAUACCGCCACAUACUACUGUGCUCGGAGAGCACACUGACACAGCCUCAGUUUUCAGCUGUACAGUCCAGCUACAGCAGUCUGGAGUUGAGCUGGUGAAGCCUGAGUCUUCAGUGAAACUGUCCUGCAAGGCUUCUGGCUACACUUUCGCUGAAUAUGAUAUUGAGUGGGUAAAGCAGAGGCCUGAACAUGGCCUGGAAUGGAUUGGAGAUAUUGAUCCUGGAAAUGGUGAUACUGCCUACAAUGAGAAGUUUGAGGGCAAGGCCACAAUGACUGUAGAUACAUCCUCCAACACAGCCUACAUGGAACUCAGCAGAUUGACAUCUGACGACUCUGCAGUCUAUUACUGUGCAGUGUUGUAA
Molecule: non-coding RNA, 366 nt
Organism: Rattus norvegicus (Norway rat)
Lineage: Eukaryota; Metazoa; Chordata; Mammalia; Rodentia; Muridae
Source: the annotation of a RefSeq genome assembly